Long non-coding RNA from Cajanus cajan (pigeon pea), 1565 nucleotides. RefSeq lists it as uncharacterized. The record is from RefSeq and is a predicted model, not a curated record. Lineage: Eukaryota; Viridiplantae; Streptophyta; Magnoliopsida; Fabales; Fabaceae.
UCACUGAAAUGAAAGUCACUAAAAGCACAAUUCGAAGUCUUGUGGUCUACUAAAAUGAAAGUCACUAAAAUCAUCGUCCAAGUCUUGCAGUCUCACCAUCUGAAAAUUAGCUCUUGAACCCAAGUCUCGUGGUCUCACCAUCCGAAUAUUAGCUCUGGAAUUGUAAGUUAUGCCUCACGCCCCAUUCUACACUCAUUGAACCCUAAGUUGAGCUUCACGCCUCUUUUCCAAAAGGAGUGACUCGUGAAACCCUAAAGCAAGAUGAUUUGAAACCCUACACUAACAAUCUUCGUCACUCUUCCCAACAACAUUCAUCACUUCAAUUGUUCCUAAUUGAGGCUCAAACUCUUUUCCUUGAACAAAACCCUAUUAUUUUCCCAAAACUCCACGUUCGACAGAAAAGGUAGGGUCCAUGGACUAAGGAGGAGAUUAUGUUUUAUAGUCUCAGGUACUUCCAUUGAUGAAGGAUGAGUCAAUGGGGGAGUCUUCCUUUGUCCAAGGAUCUUGGCACACCAAGAGUUUUUAGUCUUCAAGGAUGGAAUGGAUGGUCAAGGUGAGAAGGUAGGAGGCCAUGAGGGUGGAUGCUCUCAUGGAAGGUUGGCACACUUCAAGAUGAAGGUGGAGGCCACUCUAGGGUUUCCACUCUCCAAGGGUGAAGAUAGGAGUAGGUUAUCCGAAUUUAACCUAGGGACUAAGGAUAAGAUUUUGAGGCAUGAAAUGUUCACUCAAUAUCAUAAUAAUCCAAAGUAUUUACAAUGUGGAUGGUCUAGGGUAUUUAUAGGGGAAGGAAGGGAAUUUAAGGUUGCAAGAAGGUGCAUGGCCGAGAAAUGCAAGCAACAUGCACUCCAAAUGCAACCUAAAUUAACCCUAAAUGUGGUGUGGUUGUCCUUCCCUCCUAAAGACUAAAAUAAAAUACCCUUUGACCUAAAAAUAGAAAGAAAAAAAAAAGGUGGACUUUGACCUUACAAAUCAAGGCUUAAGCCCAAAAUAAAUCCUAAGCUAAUUUGCCCCAAAAUACAAAGGCUAAAUGAAAAUACAAAAUAAAAUCCUAUCAUCUAAAGUACCCCAAAAUAUAAGGGUAAAAUGGGAACAAAAACAAUAAAAUCCUAUACUACUCAAAAUAGGCCUAGGAGAGGGUCAAUACUCCACACUCAUGAUGAGUAUAGCUCUAGGCAUGGUGACUCCUCCAUCUUCAUCCAUUCUCCUAGCCAUGGACCUAGUAAUGGGCCCCACAUGAAGUUCCAAGAGUGGUCCUCCAUCAGGUUCAAUCUCACAAAUAGGAAAAUGAUAAUGAGGAUAAAAAGGUGCAAUAUAUUCUAUAUUUUUUGUUUAUGAGUAUGUUUGUUCUAAGAAGCUAUGGAAAGUAUGUUUUAUCUAAUUAUUUUUAUUAUUUGAGUUUCUAUGGAUGAACUCUGUAUAUUUUGGGUUGUCUAAUCUAUGAACAAUAUGUGUUUUGUGGAAAUUCUACCACCAAUAUUAUAUGUAAAUAUUUGGCUACAUGGCUUUGUUAAUAUCUUGCAUGUAAAAAUCUAUAUGAAUUAAGAAGACUAAACAAUUUUAAAAUA